RNAcentral lists this ribosomal RNA (495 nucleotides) under uncultured bacterium. Its description in RNAcentral is "partial 16S ribosomal RNA". It matches the Rfam family "Bacterial small subunit ribosomal RNA", at positions 28 to 507 of the family's 1533-position model. The record is from RNAcentral.
GACGAACGCUGGCGGCGUGCCUAAUACAUGCAAGUAGAACGCUGAAGGAGGAGCUUGCUUCUCUGGAUGAGUUGCGAACGGGUGAGUAACGCGUAGGUAACCUGCCUGGUAGCGGGGGAUAACUAUUGGAAACGAUAGCUAAUACCGCAUAAGAGUAGAUGUUGCAUGACAUUUUCUUAAAAUUUUCAAUUUCAUCCCUACCACAUGGACCUGCGUUGUAUUAGCUAGUUGGUGGGGUAACGGCUCACCAAGGCGACGAUACAUAGCCGAACUGAGAGGGGGAGCGGCCAAACUGGGAAUGGGACAAGGCCCAGAAUACUACGGGAGGCAACAGUAGGGAAUCUUAGGAAAUGGACGGAAGACUGAACGAGCAACGCCGCGUGAGUGAAGAAGGAUAUCGGAUCGUAAAGCUCUGUUGUAAGAGAAGAACGAGUGUGAGAGUGGAAAGUUCACACUGUGACGGUAUCUAACCAGAAAGGGACGGCUAACUACGUG